GACGAACGCUGGCGGCGUGCCUAAUACAUGCAAGUCGAGCGAAUCUGAGGGAGCUUGCUCCCAAAGGUUAGCGGCGGACGGGUGAGUAACACGUGGGCAACCUGCCUGUAAGACUGGGAUAACUUCGGGAAACCGGAGCUAAUACCGGAUAAUUCUUACCAACACAUGUUGGUAAGCUAAAAGACGGCGCAAGCUGUCACUUACAGAUGGGCCCGCGGCGCAUUAGCUAGUUGGUAAGGUAAUGGCUUACCAAGGCAACGAUGCGUAGCCGACCUGAGAGGGUGAUCGGCCACACUGGGACUGAGACACGGCCCAGACUCCUACGGGUGGCAG
This 333-nucleotide ribosomal RNA is filed under the name uncultured Bacillota bacterium. Its description in RNAcentral is "bacterial SSU rRNA". It matches the Rfam family "Bacterial small subunit ribosomal RNA", at positions 28 to 351 of the family's 1533-position model. Lineage: Bacteria; Bacillati; Bacillota. The record is from RNAcentral.